This 240-nucleotide ribosomal RNA is filed under the name uncultured bacterium. Its description in RNAcentral is "partial 16S ribosomal RNA". It matches the Rfam family "Bacterial small subunit ribosomal RNA", at positions 118 to 347 of the family's 1533-position model. The record is from RNAcentral.
UGGGUAACCUGCCUCAAAGAGGGGAAUAGCCUCCCGAAAGGGAGAUUAAUACCGCAUAAUAUGUUUAAGUCGCAUGACUUUAACAUCAAAGGAUUUUCUUUUAGAACUUCCACUUUGAGAUGGACCCGCGGCGCAUUAGCUAGUUGGUGAGGUAACGGCUCACCAAGGCAACGAUGCGUAGCCGACCUGGAGAGGGUGAUCGGCCACAUUGGAACUGAGACACGGUCAGACUCCUAGGAG